AUGGGUGAGCACCGCCCUACGGCGAUUGGCAGUUCUUCGAUCGCCUCGAAUGUGGAGGAGGAGGAGGAAGUGACCGAGGAGCCUGAGAUUCCAAUGUGGGACAACAAUGACGACGGUGUGGUUGACCUCAAGACCAAGGCCGAGCUCCAGGAGCUUCACAUUGCCUGCGUCAAAGGCUUCACCGAGUUGGAUCCCAGGAAGAAUCUUUGGGUCCAUACCCGCUUCUGCAGCUUCAAUAUAGGGGGCUUCGACCUUGAUAGAGAGUCUAAGUUUGGCCUUGGGCCGCCGCUUUAUGACAAUCUAGCUCCCAAGUUGGAGAGGUACAUGGCGUCGUUAGCCAUCAAUGUCAUUUCCGUCAAAGUAAGCAAAUCCGACCUGGGUUAUCCAAUCAGUGUAUAUGGCAUGCACUGUUCUUGCAAGGGAUACGAUUGA
Molecule: ribosomal RNA, 432 nt
Filed under: Triticum aestivum (bread wheat)
Lineage: Eukaryota; Viridiplantae; Streptophyta; Magnoliopsida; Poales; Poaceae
Description: partial small subunit ribosomal RNA
Source: RNAcentral